GGUCGGUAAAUACUCGUGCCAGCCACCGCGGUUAUACGAGAGACCCCAGUUGAUGACUACGGCGUAAAGAGUGGUUUGGGGCCCCCCACAAAUAAAGCCAAAGACCUCCCAAGCUGUCAAACGCACCCCGGAGACACGAAGCCCUAACACGAAAGUAGCUUUACCCCUAAUCCCCGACGCCACGAAAGCUAAGACACAAACUGGGAUUAGAUACCCCACUAUGCUUAGCCCUAAACUCAGAUGUAAAACAUACAAAUAACAUCCGCCAGGGUACUACAGGCGCUAGCUUAAAACCCAAAGGACUUGACGGUGUCUCAGACCCGCCUAGAGGAGCCUGUUCUAGAACCGAUAAUCC
This 355-nucleotide ribosomal RNA is filed under the name Pygocentrus nattereri (red-bellied piranha). Its description in RNAcentral is "partial small subunit ribosomal RNA". It matches the Rfam family "Bacterial small subunit ribosomal RNA", at positions 491 to 960 of the family's 1533-position model. Lineage: Eukaryota; Metazoa; Chordata; Actinopteri; Characiformes; Serrasalmidae. The record is from RNAcentral.